UACAGAGGUCCCAAGCGUUACUGAGAAUCACUGGGUUUAAAGGGUGCGUAGGUGGUCCGUUAAGUCAGUUGUGAAAUCCCCGGGCUCAACCCGGGAACUGCUUCUGAUACUGGCGGACUUGAGGCCAGUAGGGGUCACUAGAACUGACGGUGGAGCGGUGAAAUGCGUAGAUAUCGUCAGGAAUGCCGGUGGUGAAGACGGGUGACUGGGCUGGCUCUGACACUGAGGCACGAAAGCGUGGGGAGCGAACGGG
RNAcentral lists this ribosomal RNA (253 nucleotides) under uncultured bacterium. RNAcentral describes it as "partial 16S ribosomal RNA". It matches the Rfam family "Bacterial small subunit ribosomal RNA", at positions 524 to 776 of the family's 1533-position model. The record is from RNAcentral.